UUAACCAAGCAUCUGUGGAUAGUUCUUAAUUCAUGAUUGAUUCUUUAAUUCUGGUAUCCAGUUCCUCGUUACAUCCAUGAUUAGACGACAUAAAUACAGAUUUUUGCGUCCUAAAAUGCCUGAAUUCUUGGCAGCUUUUCUAAAAAAUUGCGAUGUAAGUGCAUGUGUCACGACACAACAAAACAAGCGAGUGUCCAUCAAAAGUUUGCUCAACUCCACCAACAUCCUUUAACCUUAAUAUAUAGUAAAAAGACCAUGAAAGUCAUCGCAGACAAACUUGCUGCAUAUUAAGGGUUAUUCUUCAUGUCGCGUAUAAAGUAGCUGCCUGAGUUUAAGAGUGUGUUCAUGAUGAUAGGGCACUACUCUGGAUAAGGACAGGAGAUGCAGCGGCUCAGCUAAUGGCAGCUCUCAGGCCUACAGCCAGCCCCAUUAGGCAGUCGUAAUGCAAAAAGCUCACUACCCAAGGACAGGAAACACAGGAGCCCGGCUGAAGAGCACUUAUCAGAGCUCCAGUACGAGGAGGAGUGGGUGUCCCGGAAUCCGUGCAGCGCUGCCAGAGGGUGAAAGGAGUUUGUUAUCAGCAGCCGCAGCGCUAUCAUCCAGGGUUGGAAGGACGGACGGCGUGAAAAAGCAAACCUAGACGGAGCACUGCCAGACCAUCUGCCGAGCCAAGGACUCCUCUCUUCCAGACACUGACCGUCUGAACCUUGGCAGCAGUCGCCCUGUCCUGCUAGAAUACUGAUCUUCCUCUAAUGUAUGUGAGGCUGCCCGGAAACACGUAGAAGAAUGUAUUAAUUAAUUCAACAUGGAGCAGAAUCUGGAAGAUCUAAUAUUCCUUCAAUCCAAUUCCCAUUAGUUUGUAAAUCAAAAGUUCAUCUGUGUGGGGCCAAAAAUACAUAAAGAAAACUUUGUUUUCAUUCUAGUCUGUAACUAGGCUGUAAAUAGAUUAGUUAAGACAGUUUAAGUUGUUAAUUUUUAUAAGUAUGAAAGCAGCUGUAGAAAUAUGAUCAAGUACAAGCCAGGAUAAGAGUGUAAAGCAUCAUUAGUGGUCCUUUGAGGCUGCAGAGUUCCUUCUAUACAGUCAGUUACAUCUCAGUAUCAUAUCAAAAGGAUUCGUCUACUGGGGAGCAGGAAUCAGUACGCUUCAUGGUCUAUCUGUGUUUUAGUUUUGUAUUUAUCUUGAGUGAAGCUGCAUGAUUUUAUUUUACGAUUUGGAAUCUAUGGUGUGUUUUCUUUCUUUGAUACUCUAAGGAGAAUGAUGAUAAAUAUUUGGAACCAGACAUUUCCACAAACUCCAUCACUAAAGCUAGGGCUGGGCGAUAUGGCCAAAAAAUAAAAUCUCAAAUUUUUUUUUUUAGUCAUCUUGGACGAUUACGAUUUUAAUCGAUUUUUGUUGUUUCUUUGCGGACUGUUAGCUAUGGCUAGUGCUAGCCAUGCUGCACUCCCGUAGCUGCAGCACUCUUCCCAUUCUUUAGGAUGCCUCUGCAGGAGGUGCUGAAAGAGGUUAGUUGUGCUGCUACUCUUCGUUUUCACAGUACUUUUGCAAACCUUGCACAUGACUGUAGUUUGCUCUGUGUCAGUCUUGUCAAAGCCGAACCACUUCCAUAUAAUCGAUGUAACAUGAGGCCCUUUUCUCGCGACCAACUCUUCGUCUGCUGUUCUGUCCGCCAUGACAGGGGUGUGAGUGUUUUGGUGGAAGGAGAUGAGAGGCGGAAGCAAACGCCAGUGCACAAGUCAUGAAAGGCAGAAGAAGAAUCUGUAUUGUUAUAUAUUUAAGCUCGCCUCGAUUUUACGAUUUGGCAAAUUUUCAAAUCGUCAGGUUUUAAAAAGGCGAAUUAAUCGAAUUAAUUCGAUUUAUCGCUCAGCCCUAACUAAAGCCUUUGUUUUUCUGCCUUGACAACUGUUUAAAUAAAAGAGAACUCUUCAACAA
Molecule: long non-coding RNA, 1930 nt
Organism: Acanthochromis polyacanthus (spiny chromis)
Lineage: Eukaryota; Metazoa; Chordata; Actinopteri; Pomacentridae
Exons: 2
Source: RefSeq, a predicted model, not a curated record